UAGAAGUUCCAAUUUCGCUUUGUUUUAAAAGAAAAUACUCCUUCUAGUCAAAGUUGAUUGAAUGAGAUGACUGCAGAACCAAGAAACUACGAAGUUGCAGUUAUUAACCAGAACUGCUCGGCCUUGGAGGUGGCUUACAAUGUCCACUGGCUUGGGCCCUUGGUUAUGGACUGGGAUGCCACCCCCUGCUUCGACUUCUUCAGCUUCCCCAUAGUUCUGGCUGCAGUAGCACUCUCCUUCAUCCAGAUUCACCCCUCGGUGUUGUGCACUGUCAUCCGUGAGCUCUCGGCACUCCUCGGCACGCACACACACUCCAUGGAAAAAUGGCAAAAUAAUGAGCAAUCGAUUGAAUCGGAGUGCAGGACACAAUGGAACCCUGACGACCAGGUAGCGCUCGAAGUGGGAUUACGAAAUUGAAUUCGAUGGCGAGUGGCCGGGGCUAGGGACUUUGUAAUUCAACACAUUCAAUAAAUUAGAGGUUUGGGGAGGCAAACAAAGGAAGUGCAGACGCAGAACUUCCGUUGCAGGCCAUCCCAUCGAUUUGCAUUUCCAA
Long non-coding RNA from Drosophila biarmipes, 553 nucleotides. RefSeq lists it as uncharacterized. The transcript is spliced from 2 exons. The record is from RefSeq and is a predicted model, not a curated record. Lineage: Eukaryota; Metazoa; Arthropoda; Insecta; Diptera; Drosophilidae.